GAUGAACGCUAGCGGGAGGCCUAACACAUGCAAGCCGAGCGGUAGCGUUUCUUCGGGUACUUGAGAGCGGCGCAAGGGUGCGUAACACGUGUGCAACCUCCCUUUAUCUCGGGGAUAGCCUUUCGAAAGGAAGAUUAAUACCCCAUACUAUAAUGAUUGGCAUCUAUUAUUAUUGAACACUCCGGUGGCUAGAGAUGAGCACACGCGAGAUUCGAUAGUUGGUGAGGUAACGGCUCACCAAGUAAAUGAUCAUUAGAGGUCCUGAGAGGGAGAUCCCCCACACGGGAACUGGGACACGGACCAGGCGCCUACGAGACGCAGCAGUGAGGAACAGUGGGCAAUGGGUGGGAGUCUGAGCCAGCCAGCCCGCGUGAAGGAUGACAGUCCUAUGGAUGGUAUGCAUCUUUUGGACAGGGAUAAACCUAUCCUCGGGAGGGUAGCUGAAGGUACUGUACGAAUAAGCACCGGCUAACUCCGUG
This 479-nucleotide ribosomal RNA is filed under the name uncultured bacterium. RNAcentral describes it as "partial 16S ribosomal RNA". It matches the Rfam family "Bacterial small subunit ribosomal RNA", at positions 28 to 507 of the family's 1533-position model. The record is from RNAcentral.